CCUUCUCCCUCUCUGCGCAGCACCUUUCCUGUGAAGGAGGGGCGCUGCACAGAGAGAGAGAAGGCGCAGUGCCCCUUCAGCGACGCGUCUGUCCUGGCUUCUGCUUUAGCCCUGCGCAGCCUCUUUGGGCAGGGGGAGCCUUCAUCCCGCUGCCCUGAAGAGGCUUGGCGUGGUUACCCAGAAGCCAGAACAGCCACACGGUAUCCCAGAAGCCAGAUCCCUCUUGCUGGUCUGGCUUCUUGGGUUCAGAAUAAUUUUUUCUUGUUUUCCGCCUCCCAAAACAUAUGCGCCCUAUGGUCCGGUGUGCCCUAUGGUACGAAAAAUACGGUAUUCACAUUUGUUUUUAAUGGUAUUUUAAUUGCUUCUUUUUUUCCUUAUAAUAUUAUUUUUGUAUUCUAUUCAAUUCCAAUUCUAAUAGAAUACAGUAUUUAAGAAAUCAUAUAUAAGAAAUGGGGGUUGGACUAGAUGAUCCCCCAGGGUCCCUUCCAACUGUACAAUGCUGUGAUUCUAUAUAUACCUAAGAUUAGAGCCCUAGACAUUUUUUUAAAGUAAAAUAAAUGAAAUAGCAGUUGUUUGACGCACAGUUUCAGAUCAGCUUCCACGGGAAGGGGUUUUUUAAAUUUUGAAUACUGUACAGGCACACCUUGUUUUAUUGUGGUUCCCUUUAUUGUGCUUCGCAGAUAUUGCUCCUUAUGAGGAUGCGAGGUGCAGGCAGUCUGGCUGCUUCCAGGAGAAGGAAGCUCCCACCCGCCACCCCUUUUCUGGCCAUGGGAGUGGAGCUGACUAAUUUUGGGGCUGAGUUUUCCCCCUCCCACCCCUGCAACCAGUGGGGCUUGGCUUAGUAGACUACAGUGUAGUGUAAGCAUAACUUGUAUAUUUAUGUUUUUGGCUGGAAAAAGGGGAGGGGAAGUAGGGGGAAAGUGUCAGAAGGGGCUAGGAGAGCAGGGGGGGAAACCAUCAGAAAUCCCACCUGCCAAUGCACUCGCCUUGGAAGAGCGUUCAGAGGCACAGGUUCAGUGGCCUUGGGAGAGGCUAUGGAGGUAGUUGGAGCGUCUUCCACAGUCUUGGGAGAGAGUGUGGCCUUCAGUAUGUCACAGAACUCCUAUUGUAGCAUUAAGAUUAUGCAGAUGGAGAGCACACACUGUUCAAAGAAAAUAUUAACACAAUAUUUUUGAAAUGGUAGGCCUGUGCUGUGAAAGAGUAGGUCACCCUGUGCUUUUCUUUUUAAAAGAUACAUAAGUGAUUAUCUCAUGUAGUAGUAGUAGUAGUAGUAAUAAUAAUAAUAAUAAUAAUAAUAAUUUGUCCUCAGUGUACAUUCUGCCUUGCAGAAUAACACUGGCAACAGAUCUGAAAUCUGAACUACACAGUGAAAGGAGGGAGGGACUAUGGGGCACACCUUUUAUACAGGGAGAAGUUAAUUGCCUUGGUAACACACUGAGUAUGAAGAGGAAAGUCAAUAGAAUAAUUGAAGAUGAAGCCAAGACUUACAUGCCUGAUCAACAGGGGAUGUUGUUGGUGGAUAGGAAGAGGAAUCAAAGAGGGGAAAGCUUUUGAGGAGAGAGUAGUGGAUCAGUUUUGGACAGGUUGAGUUUGAGAUGGUAAUGGGACAUCCAAAUGAGGGGGGAAAGUGAGUAUAUGUAUUUUUAAAACUUAAAACCAUGCCAAAACUGUUUAAAUAAAUGCAUCACAGAUUAUGAUAGUUACACCAAAAUAUGAGUGGUCAAAUCUCUGGGUGCUAGUUUCAGCUAUGCCAUGUGCUGCAAAAAUAUUCAAAACACGUUUCACAGAGGCCAUAGCAGAACACAGGAAGGAAAGAUGCACAGAAAUGGCAAUGGUGGCUGUUCAAUAUUCCCUUGAAGUCCUCAUUUGUACAGUCAUAAACAAAUGAAACCUGACCAGGUAUCUGCUGAUAGUAGCCAAUGUUGAAAUGAUUGGCUGCCUUAAACUGGAGCUGCAGGAGGGUAGAUGAUCUCUCCUCAGCCACAAGAGGGUGCACACAGUCCCAAAGUAGUUUCCUUGGCUAGAGUUGUUGAGCUUUUUUAAGAAAACCCCAAAAUUGUUGAACUUUCUCUUUUUUUUCAAAAACUCCAAAAAAGAGCAGCAUGUAUUCCUAGCCAGAAGAGGGUGUGUGUUUCUAUAAAGCACAGUCUGAAAUUAAGUUUGUCAUCUCUGCUCCCAGACAGUUUACUUGGUAUAAGCCGUAGGGCAGCGUGUCCAUUCAGGAAGGUCAUCCACGCUGAGACACAUGAUGGAGCCAUUUUGCUGACACUACACAGGCCUAAUCUGUGCCUAGAUGAAGGUUCACACACAGACCCCAUGUACAUCACUCAGAGUUGAAGAAUGUUGGGACAUAGAUGUACUAAAAUUAAUAAAUAAGUAACCUUCUUGAAAUCAAAAUCAUAGGGCAAUACACACUCUAGCUGCCUUUUGGAUGCAAUGGAGCAUGUGAACGGAAUCUUUAAAAUUAUAAACUGAAGUGGAGUUACAGUGCAAUGCCCUUAAAAUAUGUGCAUCUCUUCUAUGUGAUUUCAAACCCCAGAGACACUAUAGAGACAUCCUAGUUUGAACUAAACUGAUCCAAGCACAAAAAGGAAGGGGAAAAUAGAUUUCAAAAAUAAAAGCAGUUAUUGAAAACAGUAUGUUCAGCUUGAGUUCUCUCAAUAAAUAAGAACAGAGAUCACAAUUAUACAUUUACAGUUCUGAACUCAAAAUGGGGUGGGGAAAUGAUUCCACUAAUAUAUUUUCAAACUAACUCUGGCCUAUUUGUAAAGGGGUAUAACCCACCCAGCUCAGAACAAUGUGCAAUGGAUGUUUAAGUCACACGUUUUCAUGGAAAAAUAAUAUCCUUCUAAUCUACAAGCAGAGUUAAGUAGGGUUCAGGUUGGUGGGAUCCUGAGUGCUGCCUGAGAAACACAAGAGACCCAGUAGGAGCUGGGAGCAAAUUCAGCAAGAUAUUGUCUGCAUCGGCAGAUCCUUCACCUAUUUACUGCAACUUCCAUUUUGAAUUUAAGGUGUGAGAUGUCAAGAAAAGAGCUAAGAAUAAAUUGUAAAGAAAGAAUAGGAAAAUAUGAUGAAUUAUAGUGAGUCAUGCAAUAAAGCCCUGACAGAAAUACAAACUAACCUAUUUGGAAAUAUUGUUGAAAAUUUGGAAUAAAUAAAACCAUGAGAAAUGUAUGCUUUCUGCUGCAGCCUUGGGAGAUGACAGACAAUUGGGCAACAUACAUUGUUGAGGAGACAGCAGACUGUAGCAAAGCUGUCUAGACAAGUAAAUUACAGAAAUUUAUGUAGUCUCAAGAAGUAAAAAAUCAUUAAAUUGGGUUGGGGGAUUGAAUUCCUGCAUAUUACCCUGAAAAUGUACUAAUCCUAAUUGCUAAUGGGUGUGAAAAUUCUCCAGAUACAAAUAAUACAUUGAAAGUGUGUCAUAAUAAUUAUUAUGCCCAGGAAUAUUUAAUUAUUUUAUUAAUAUUCCCCUCACAGCACUUCACUUAGAAAUUCGCUGAAGUGUAGUGCAAGGCUUGGCAAAUGGAUAAUGCUGAACUCCUGUCUCUACCAUAAAUAUGCUUCAGGGACACGGGUGGCGCUGUGGUCUAAACCACUGAGCCUCUGAGACUUGCCAAUUGGAAGGUCAGCGGUUCAAAUCUGCGCAACAAGGUCAGCUCCCGUUGCUCUGUCCCAGCUUCUGCCAACCUAGCAAUUCAAAAGCACACUAAUGCAAGUAGAUAAAUAGGUACUGCUAUCACAGGAAGGUAAACAGUGUUUCCAUGCACUCUGGCACUCAUCACAGUGUUCCAUUGCGCCAGAAGCAGUUUAGUCAUGCUGGCCACAUGACCCGGAAAGCUCUCUGUGGACAAACGCCAGCUCCCUUAACCGUCCAGGGGUCCUUUACCUUUCACCUUUAAAUAUGCUUCAUGCCCAUUCAGUUCCAGAUGGUAAAAUAUAAUCAAGAGGAUCACAUUUGCCCCUCAACUUUUCCUUUCCCUUUUCCCUUUUCCAAGUGAUGCACACUUAUCUGCCUUUUCCUUCAUUUUAAUAAUCUUAAAAGGUUAUGUGUGACUCACCAGUUUAUGGUAAUUAGAGGCAUCUUUCUUUUAUCAAUAGAUUAUGAGCACAUUGUACGCACUAAUUAAGAAAUUAUGUGAUGAUAAAACAUGAAAAUUGAGCAGGUCCCUGGUCACAAUGCUGUGUGAAAAGAUAUGUUAGACAAUAAGCUCAGGUGCUGAAGACAACAUUCUGCUAUUUGCAUUCAUCUGAUAGGACCAAGCAGAGGCACCAUGAUGUUGCUAGAGAUAUUUGCCAUGGCAAACAGUAUACAUUUUCCUCCAUGUCUGAUUCUCAGAGGGCUAUUACUCAUUCUGUAUAUGCAAAGCCAGGUUUUCAAUAAUCUUUCCUGCAGUAAUAUUUACAGCCUUUUCAAUGUAGCUGCACUUUCACUGUCAGGCUCAGUGUGGUGCAAAUGCACAACAGGUGAAAAGAGCUAGGAGAGUAUGACAUCUAAAGUUGUAAACAGAAUUAUAUAGUGAGCCCCAUGACAAUCUCCAUCUAGCCCCCAGAAUUUUCUAAACCUUUUGCCCUAUCACAUGCUGUUUGUUGUUCCAGAAAUACAUAGCAUCAGCAAUCAGGAAAGAUCACAUCAGUGCAACAAACCCAGAUCACCCGACAAAGGCAUAGAGACAAGCUAAAUGCCGGCAUCAGGCAAGAAGGUACAAUUUACCAGGGUGUGCUAAUAUACAGUACAUGAUUUUAUUUGUAUGCCAGCUUUCCAUAGUUAAAACCAGUUUGCAACAUGAAAAAAUACAUACUGUAAUUGC
Non-coding RNA from Podarcis lilfordi (Lilford's wall lizard), 4808 nucleotides. NCBI's taxonomy places the organism in Eukaryota, Metazoa, Chordata, Lepidosauria, Squamata, Lacertidae. The record is from the annotation of a GenBank genome assembly.